CCUUUUCCCUAUUACGGUAAAGUUGAAGUUAAACUAAUAAAUGAAUGAAAAAUUUAGUUAAUCUGCAGUCCUCUAAUUGAUUAAAUUGAGCAAGUAACUGGUCAGUUUAUGCCCGUUUUAGUUUCAAUUGCAGUAAUUAUCCCUGUAGUUGUUUGUUAUGCUAUUUUGUUCACUAUACUGAUUACUUUGAUGUAUUUGUUCUAAAUUCUACGGCGAACAUGGUAAGGCCUU
This 231-nucleotide long non-coding RNA is filed under the name Carica papaya (papaya). RNAcentral describes it as "long non-coding RNA (CPAP_LNC001130)". The record is from RNAcentral. Lineage: Eukaryota; Viridiplantae; Streptophyta; Magnoliopsida; Brassicales; Caricaceae.